RNAcentral lists this long non-coding RNA (2743 nucleotides) under Homo sapiens (human). RNAcentral describes it as "non-protein coding lnc-SYCP1-4:3". The record is from RNAcentral. Lineage: Eukaryota; Metazoa; Chordata; Mammalia; Primates; Hominidae.
ACGCACGGACGUCCUCCCGAGGGAGGCGGGAACUCGGUUCGCGGGCGCGGAGCGGUCCCGGACCCUCGAAGCCAGUUCCUUGCGUCAGUGCCGCGGCUCUUUAACCCGAAGGGAGAUUUUUUUUUUAAAGCCAGAGGCCGUUGACGCUGGGUAGCCUUUGGCUGGGGUUGGUUAUGAACUCCGACACAGCGGUGGUGCAUACGGAAGGGUGGUAGCCGGGACGGUUCCGGUCCCUGCGAGCGUGUCCCGGGCGUCUCCGCGGAAGUUUCACCUGCCGCGCCGCUCGAUCGCCGGGACCUCCUGGGUCUCUGCUGUGCGUAGACCAGCCGCGUUCCUUUGGGUGGCCGUGGAGCACUAAAGCGGGGCUUAUUGUUUGUUUGGUUUUGGUUUUUUUUUUUGUUUUUUUUUUGCUUUUUGUUUUUGAACUGAGGAUCUAUCAGAAAUAGGCUGAAAAGACCGAGUGAGGAAGAAACUCUUUAACAGCUAUUUUUGGCAUCUUAAGGUGAUUCUCAGGAGUUGCUACGUAUCAGAAUCAACGGAGGAGUUUUUCAAAGCAGAGAUGCCAGGGCCAGUCCCCAGACCUGAAUCAGGAAGUGAGGGAGAGAGCCGACGGAGGGGGAAAAGUCCCUUCAGCUGAUUCUUAUGUAUGUCAGUUUGGAGAGCCACGGAUAUAACCAAUACUGCGUCCUUCUGAGGUCCCACUUUAAGUGUCCUGGGUUGAGCUGGGUGACAAAUGCCCUUACAACAAUGGUAGUAGAAGCUUUCAGGCCAAGCGCAGUGGCUCACGCCUGUAAUCCCAGCACUUUGGGAGGCCGAGGCGGGCAGAUCACUUGAGGUCAGGUCAGGAGUUCGUGGGCAGCCUGGCCAAUAUGGUGAAACCCCGUCUCUACUAAAAAUAUAAAAAUUAGCCGGGUGUAAUGGCGUGCGCCUGUAAUCCGAGCUACUCAGGAGGCUGAGGCAGGAGAAUGGCUUGAACCCGGCAGGAGGCGGAGGCUGCAGUGAGCCGAGAUAGCGCCACUACACUCCAGCCUGGGCGACAGAGCGAAACUCCGUCUCAAAAAAAAAAGAAAAGCUUUCAGAAAGUUGCCUUUUUAUUUGAAAAAAAAAAAAAGGUAUUUGGAGGAUUUUAUGUAGUGCAACAACUGUUUUAGUGUUAAGAUCAUGAAAUGCUUUGGUCUCCUGUUAGUGUUCCCAAGAAAGGUGCUGUAAGUCCUUAAACCACGUGAAAACUUUUUUUUUUUUUGAGACCUCCUCGUUCUGUCGCCCUGGCUGGAGUGCAGUGGCGUCAUCACAUUUCAUUGCAGCCUCGACUUCCCAGGCUCAAGCCGUGCUCCUCGCAAUUACCUGGGACCGUAGAUGCACGCCACCAUGACUUAGCUGAUCUUUUUUUUCCCUUUGCCUCGAAGAGGCUGGGGUCUCACCAUGUUGCCCAGGCUGAAACUCCUGGGCCCGAGCGAUUGGCCCGCCUCAGCCGCUGGAAAUGCUAGCAUUACAGGCAUGAGCCACUGCGCCCAGCCUCCUGAAAACUUUUUAAAAUUUAUUCAAAAAUGUUUCCUGACCUCUUUAUUGUCAUAGUGUUUUAGAGAUACACUGGGAUUACAAAACAGAGGAGCUCCCUGCAUUCAAGGGGUUUACAAUCUAAUAGAGAAAAAGAUUGAGAAUAGAUACAUGCCAGGGAGUGGUAAGUGCUGUGAAGAAAAGAAUAAGUGGGGUAAAAGGGGUUAGAGGUGAUUGAAGAAGGCCCCUGUUGAUCAGAUGAAGGAACCUGUCUUGGAGAAGAGCAGGAGAGGAACACAUAACAAGUGCAAAGGGCCUGAGGGAAACGGAUUCUUGGCUUGUUAGAGGAGGAGUCAGUGUGGCUGGAGUGGCUUGAACAAGGGAGAGAAUAGUAGGACAUGAGAUAAGAGAGUUAUUAAGGGAGCCAGGUCAUGUACAGAAAUGGUCUUCAAUUUUUUUUUUAACUUUUGUGCCCUUUGAAAGAAUUUUGGAAGGCUGUUUUCUUUCCUCAAACAUUUUCACUUCUCAACUGGGUGUGGUGCCUUACACCUGUAAUACCAGCACUUUGGAGGAAAACAGGAGGAUCACUGGAGGCCAGUAGUUCAAGACCAGCCUGGGCGACAUAGCAAGACCCCCAUCUCUACAAAAAAAAUUUAUUAAUACAAAUUUUAAAAAUAAUGUAAAGUUUAGUUCUCAUCAUUCCAUGGUGUACCAAGUACACUUUGACUUCUAGGUACUCUGUUGUCUGAGUGAGAACUAUUAGUACCAAGAAAAGCAGGACAGAUAGCAGAGUUCUGAGUCUAAUUACUAUCUAUUGGCUUUUCUGUGUCUCUAAGGCCUUUCAGGGGCACGUUGUAAUUCUAGUAAUAAACACCACAUUUGAACAGCAGUUUACAGUUGACAAAGUGCUUUCACACACAUCUCUUAAUUUUUGCAACCAGUAAAAUAUAGCUCAACAAUAAAUAGACUUCCUUAUGUGAAUGUACUGUAAUGUAUUAUCUAUUCAUAGACAAUAAGGUUUUCAAUUUUUUACUAUUAUAAACAAUACUGUGAAAAGCAUUGUGAUGCAUAAUUAUUUGCAUAUCUAUAAUUAUUUCUUCUGAAUAUUCCUAAAAGAAUUGCUGAUUCAAAGAAUAUGCCCAUUGUAAAAGUUUUUAAUAUGUAAAUUUAAAGUAUUCCAUAUGGAUUAUUAAAUUGUUUUGAUGUAUUUUGCUACUAUAAAUAAAAAAGUGAAAUUAACAUGCAA